AAAAGGAAAAGCUGUGCAGCAGCUUAGGAAAAAGAGAACAAAAAGAUCUAGUAGCUAAGAGUAGGCUCUUCCUUCUUCUUCCUGCAAACAGAGCCAAAGUAGCUAAUCCACCAUCCAAAACACCUCCAUUUUCUCUUCAAGAAUUGCCAUUGUCAUCCCAUUUUUCAGCCAUUAAAUUGCAGCCUUGAAGCACCAUAAAGUCACCUUCUUCACCAACCAAACUCCAAAAAUGCAGCAACUAGCUACUCUAUAAAACAACCAAUGAAAUGCAACCUUGAAGCACCACUGCUUCAGCAAAAACUAGCACAAAAAUCGAUUGAACGCUGUCGAAAUUUAGCUAUAAAACCAGCUCCAAAAAAAUGUGAA
RNAcentral lists this long non-coding RNA (366 nucleotides) under Nicotiana benthamiana. RNAcentral's name for it is "long non-coding RNA (NBEN_LNC038963)". Lineage: Eukaryota; Viridiplantae; Streptophyta; Magnoliopsida; Solanales; Solanaceae. The record is from RNAcentral.